GUGAGGAAUUUUCCGCAAUGGGCGAAAGCCUGACGGAGCAAUGCCGCGUGAAGGAUGAAGGCCUAUGGGUUGUAAACUUCUUUUCUCAGAAAAGAAUUAUGACGGUAUCUGAGGAAUAAGCAUCGGCUAACUCUGUGCCAGCAGCCGCGGUAAGACAGAGGAUGCAAGCGUUAUCCGGAAUGAUCGGGCGUAAAGCGUCUGUAGGUUGUUUAAAAAGUAUUCUGUCAAAGAUUAGGGCUUAAUCCUAGAUAGGCAGAAUAAACUUUUAAGCUGGAGUUUGGUCGAGGCAGAGGGAAUUCCCGGUGGAGCGGUGAAAUGCGUAGAUAUCGGGAGGAACACCAAAGGCGAAGGCACUCUGCUGGGCCAAUACUAACACUGAGAGACGAAAGCGAGGGGAGCAAAUGGGAUUAGAAACCCUGGUAAGUCC
RNAcentral lists this ribosomal RNA (427 nucleotides) under uncultured bacterium. RNAcentral's name for it is "bacterial SSU rRNA". It matches the Rfam family "Bacterial small subunit ribosomal RNA", at positions 354 to 796 of the family's 1533-position model. The record is from RNAcentral.